GCCUCUGUCGUCUAACCAGGAUAGGACGUGGGCUUGCGGAGCCUAAGGUCCGGGUUCAAAUCCCGGCAGAGGCG
This 74-nucleotide transfer RNA is filed under the name Microcaldota archaeon. RNAcentral describes it as "Candidatus Micrarchaeota archaeon (hot springs metagenome) tRNA-Arg". It matches the Rfam family "tRNA". Rfam says of the family: Transfer RNA (tRNA) molecules are approximately 80 nucleotides in length. The record is from RNAcentral. Lineage: Archaea; Nanobdellati; Microcaldota. RNAcentral also lists the same sequence under 1 other name.